Molecule: ribosomal RNA, 887 nt
Filed under: uncultured bacterium
Lineage: Bacteria
Description: bacterial SSU rRNA
Rfam family: Bacterial small subunit ribosomal RNA
Source: RNAcentral
GUCAGAUGUUAAAUCUUGAGGCUCAACUUCAAGCUCGUAUCUGAAACUGCUAUGCUAGAGAAUUGGAGAGGCGAGUGGAAUUCUAUAUGUAGGGGUAAAAUCCGUAGAUAUAUAGAGGAACACCAAAAGCGAAGGCAGCUCGCUGGCCAAUUUCUGACGCUCAUGGACGAAAGCGUGGGGAGCAAACGGGAUUAGAUACCCCGGUAGUCCACGCCGUAAACGAUGAUCACUCGAUGUUGGGAGUUCGACCCUCUCAGUGUCUAAGCUAACGCGAUAAGUGAUCCGCCUGGGGAGUACGGCCGCAAAGCUAAAACUCAAAGGAAUAGACGGGGACCCACACAAGCGGUGGAGCGUGUGGUUUAAUUCGAUAAUAAGCGAGGAACCUUACCAAGACUUGACAUCUUCUGAAUACACCCGAAAGGGAGUAGUGCCGUAAGGAACAGAAUGACAGGUGUUGCAUGGUUGCCGUCAGCUCGUGCCUUGAGGUGUUCGGUUAAGUCCGUAAACGAGCGCAACCCUCGUCCUUAGUUGUAUUUUUCUAAGGAGACUGCCUGGCAUAACCAGGAGGAAGGUGAGGAUGACGUCAAAUCAGCAUGGCCCUUAUGUCUUGGGCGACACACGCGCUACAAUGGCCAGUACAGCGGGCAGCCAAGGAGUAAUCCGGAGCGAAUCCCACAAAACUGGUCUAAGUUCGGAUUGGGGGCUGCAACUCGCCCCCAUGAAGUUGGAAUCGCUAGUAAUCGCGUAUCAGCCACGGCGCGAUGAAUAUGUUCCUGGGUCUUGUACUCACCGCCCGUCAAGUCACGGAAGAAGGGGGCGCCCGAAGUCCCUACUAAGUAGGGCCUAAGGCGAAAUCUUUGACUGGGACUAAGUCGUAACAAGGUAAC